Molecule: ribosomal RNA, 461 nt
Filed under: Bacillinae sp. 2 SB-2021
Lineage: Eukaryota; Metazoa; Arthropoda; Insecta; Phasmatodea; Bacillidae
Description: partial large subunit ribosomal RNA
Source: RNAcentral
UUCAAGUCCGAUACCGGUGCUUCGGGCCGCCUUGCCCCGCCGAUGGUGCCGGUCGCCCGCGGUGAUUCAUUUUGCUUGCGGUGUCGUUCCCGGCAUUCACUCGGUAGGGUGGCGUUGCUCUGGACCCGGCGGGCCGCACUUCCUCCCUAGUAGAAACGUCGCGACCCGUUGGGUGCCGGUCUAAGGCCCGGGAUGGCAGACUGUAUGCUUUGUGGGGGUUCCCACAGGCAUGCGGACUCCUGGUGACCCGGCCGGCUGCCCGACGGUAUGACCAGAGGAGGCGAUCCGCUAUGUGAAAAACACUUUGUGUGUGUAGCGUCCGGCCCGGCGCCGACGCGUGCGGGUGAAGGUGCAAACCGUGGGUGUCCGUGCAAAGCACGGCCCUGGCCCCGCUGCGUUGUCGGAAUGCUGGUGUCCUCGGACUGGAUCGAUACUCCCGUCUGCGACGACCACCUUCGGAU